UGACUCCGUAACUGGACAUUUUUUCUCCCGCCGUAUCUCCCUGCCUGGUCGUCCCACGCCCAUCUCCAUAGCGGAGGGGUGCUCCACGCCUCGGGCUCAGGGGCUGUAUUGCUGCCCCUCCUCCCCACCUUCCUCAGCUCCAAAGGAGCAUCAGCUGCGCUCUCACUGAUGCUUCUCCUAACUGAGGGAGGCCAGGGCCACUCCUCCCUCCCUCUUGUGGUCCAGGGUUGUACUCAGCCACCUCCAGGAUCUCAGUGACCAAAAGCAACAACAAACAACAAGACACCCAGCUUGACAAUGGUUGCCUAUGGAAUAGCAGAACACAGUCAUGGAAGAAGCAGCAAAAAAUAAAAAAAUGAUGGACUCAUACAUGAGUGAAUCGAAGUGAAGGACAAGUCUUGAAAGGAACGAGGCUGUGGGGACCUCACGCGAAGGAAAGCAGAAAACGCCACCCCGGUCAGCACUGCUUUUGCAGGAGACUGUGCUGACACCAUCAGAGGCACCGUUGCUGAGACAGCAAUCCAGAAAGAAAGAGCUGCUGAAGUUUUCUCCAGCUUGUCAAGAACGUUAGGAAAGUAGCUUCUUUUAAAACUUACAUAAAACUGGAUUUAGGCCAUGCCUGGAAGCAACCACAACACAGCUUCUUUUCCAUCCCCCGGCACCCGCUGGCAGCCUCAGCAGCUGACCUCCAAACCACAGACAGGAAGGUGCCCCAGAGGCAUGGCUGAUCCACAGGAUGCUGUAGGAUCCCAUGGAAGAACUCUGGUACCAAGACAAUGAUUUCCAAUCAUAUAUGAUUACUCUAACCUGGAUGCAUUUUGUUGAUAAAGUACAAUUAUAAUAAGUGAAUUGAGAUGAAUUUCAGAAAGCAGUAGUGUAUUCUCAGCAUCCUAAUCAGAAGGAGAAACCCAGUAGCAGGUAGGCAGGCAGAGGACAUGAAGCUGAGCCUUCCACCUGUAUGGUCUUGGGUAGAUCACUUUAUGCUGCUGAAACUUAAUGUUUGUUUUAAUAGAGGCAAGGUGACCAAAUGGGUCACAAACUCCUUUCUGAUUCUCCUGUUCUAUUUGCUCUUUCUUGUUAUUAAAGAAUGUCCAAGUCA
This 1099-nucleotide long non-coding RNA is filed under the name Homo sapiens (human). Its description in RNAcentral is "HSALNT0299867". Lineage: Eukaryota; Metazoa; Chordata; Mammalia; Primates; Hominidae. The record is from RNAcentral.